UUAGUAUUUUCAGUCGUAGUCAUUGAUAAUUACAUUAAAAAUAAUUAUUUGUAAUUACAUCAACAUUUCCAUUUUAAUGUAAAAGAAAGACAAACACUCUUUUACCAUUUUAUUUAUAGUAAUGGAUCGAUGCAAAUUUUAUUACAAUCUAAAAUAAUUAUUUUUUUGUACAUAGUUCGAGAAACAUUCGUGAAAAGACAAUAGGCAUAUUCCAUAUUUAGUAAAAAUUACGAUAAAUUUUCAAUAUUUCAAUAUAUACAUUCGCUACAUACUAAGUAAUUAUAUAAAAUAAUAGGAAAAUAUUGUAAUAUUCCACAUAAGAGAUUUCGAGAUCGAGGCAUAGAGAUUCAAGCUUAACAAAACCAGCCCAUGAAAAAUAGUUUACUGAACGCGUUCUUAAACUUUAAAUAACGUUAUUUUCGCCACGAGAAUUUUUUCUUUCGUAGGGGAUGAUUUAUUUCGAACUCUGAAUUCGGUGACUCAUUUCUACGUGACUUCCGUCUGGGUGGGGCCAACUUGUCUAAUGGUAAAACAAUACAAAAAUCUUUCGAUCUGUACGGAAGUUUUUCUGACUCUAUAAAACUGAAUUAAACUUCCAUCCAUUAUACAUUUAUUUUUGUUCAUUUCGGAAAAAAUAUUUUGUACAUUUUCUCGCUUAUACUUCAGAUAUUUCUUUUCUAAUUCUUACUAUAGUAAUCUAAGCCAUAUUAAUCUAGUUACUUUCGCGGUGUACGAUUUCUAAUCACCAGGACUUAUAACACAAGACAAACAAAAAUCGUACACUUCUUUCCGUUAUUUUAUUUACUUACUUAGCAGUUGAUAAAAUCAAUAGAAAAUCGUUCUUGGUGUAUUAUUAAUUUGAAAUUAAUUUAUCUCUAUUCAGAUGAAUAUAAUGGGUAAUUUAUUAAUUAAAAUAUUAAAAUAUUAAAUACGAAAGUGUGAAGAAUUUUUUAAAUUAUUCGAUGCUUAAUUUCGAUUUGUCGAUAAACAAUAGAAAAUGAAUAACACUUUAAGGAAAUCAGAAUUUGAAAAUAACUAGUUUAAAAUUUGAAAAUAACCAUGUAGUUUUGUGACAUUUUAAAACAAGCCACGGUAACUCAAUCGAUAACAUCGAAGCUUUAAAUUAUAAACACGAGAUAUCACUGUACAAGGAUAAUCCGAAUCAAGUUGAAUAUACGAAACAAUAAAAAAACAUUACGAGACCCAAGAUUUACGGGAAUCUAAAACCAAGCUCGGAAAUUAUAACUAAAGAUACGAUUUAAUCAAGCCCGUAUAAUACACACUAAAACGAAGUGAUGGAAAUCGUCGAGGGAAACUUAAGCUUCUGUUGCCAAGCAGUCGUACUAACUCACCGGAUAAAGCGAUUGAAAAGAAGAUGUACGUACUUGUUGUAGAAGAACACAGGAAAAAAAGACAGGGAAAAGUAAGUAAGGAAAGUACGAGUCACGAUCACCAAAUUACGUUCGUCACAAUAAAGAUACCCGGCGACUGACUUAACUCGCUGGUUCUCUCCCGAUUGUGUUAAGGAUCCCACAGGACUUCCAACGCAUGCGCAUAUCCGUACUCACCAUAGUACCAGGAAUGUACAUAGAGUGGAAUAUUGGAUAAGUUAUUAGACGAUUUUUUCAUAUGUUUAUUAUAACUGGCAAUUCGAUUAGCGUAUCAUAAUUAGAGCGAUUGGCUGCGCUAGAAUGGAAAUGAUUACAGGUACAACGUUAUGUCGUUGGAUAUUAUAAAAUGGAUGAAAUUAUCUAGUGCGACGAAUGAAGCAAGUUCUAGCACUAUUCCUUGAAAGCACGGCACUGUGCAGGUCUGUCAGGAUAUCGCGCGUGCGCCGUUUUAAUACGGGAAACAGAAAGAAACAACGGUGGGGAACAGCAGACAGGCAUCGAACUGUCGACUUUGUGGAGGGCCGUGAACUGUGGAUUGACCACCCUACUUUGUAAUUACUCUUUUCCCGAUAGCUUUGUACCGCAUUUUCUUUCAAUCUCCAUGAUUUUUAUCUUUCACGAGUUCCAUUUUCUUCUUUAAUAUUCGUUUGGCUCAUUUUCAGGAGAUUUCGAAAUGCCGCUGCCAUUUAUUUCACAAAGGACAUCCAUAAUUGGGCAUCUGUUAAAUAUACAGGGUGUCCCAAAAAUGUUGGAGGUCCUUGAAAGGGGAGAUUCGAAGGGUGAUUUGAAAUAACUUUUUCCUUAGCGAAAAUGUUGUACGAGGCUUCGUUGAGGAUAUAUUAAGAGAAAACGUCGACCAAUCAGAGCGCGUGGAUACCGUUGGAGCGGCCGCGGUAGCGAAGGCUACGAGCUAAACGACCACGUCCAAUGGCCUUCGAUGCACGUUGAGUCACUUGUUCGCGUACGAGCGCGGCCGCUUAGCUCGUAGCCUUCGCUACCGCGGCCACUCCAACGGCAUCCUCGCGCUCUGAUUGGUCAGUGUUUUCCGUUAAUAUCUCCUUAACGAAGCCUCGGACAACAUUUUCGCUAAGGAAAAAGUUGUUUCAAAUCACCCCCUGAACCACCCCUUUCAAGGUGUUACAACAUUUUUUGGACACCCUGUAGAAUAAAGAAUGCAACGGUAUCCUAAGUAAAUAAUUUAAUAGAAAUAAUGUUGCGAUACUAGCACCUCGUAUAACGUUCUAAAUCGAUAAUUCUUUGUACAAAAAUUUCCAAAUAGUUCUCUAGCUCAUUUGAUAAAAAAUCAAACUGUGUUUUGAUAAAUCUGUCAACUAUAAAAUAAGAUUAUAUCAGAUUCUUACGUAAAACGCGUGCAUAUCUGUAUAGUUAAAAAUUUAAUCUUACUGGCAUAGACAGUUUACAGUUAAACGGUGUACAGUUAUUUUGUCCUACUUAUGUUACGAUAGAGUUUCUGCGAUGAUAAUUAACUUUUUCGUUGCGCGAAAAUUCACUAAUUCGAAAUAACAAACGGUAUAUAGUUCGUCCUUGAUCGACUUAUCGUUUUACAUUUUUUUGUCGAUAUCUUGCUUCCUUGUUUUAUCCCGCUCUUCUCAUUGUAUGUUAAUUUUGUUUUAAUGUAAACAACAUUUGCAGACAAAUACUUCUAUAUUUAUUUUAUUUCCCUCGAAACAGAAGACCAUUCUAAUUUUUAAUAAUUCCGUAAAUUUCCUGAGCUUUACGAAUGAAAUUAUCGUAAAUUCUCGAAAUAUUAAUUAUACUUCUAGGACACUCAUAGAAGUAAAUUAGUCGAUUAUUAGUAGGACUCUAUCGAUGAUUCGAUUAAUUAACAAAAUAUUAAAAAAAAAAAAGAAAGAACAAAAUUGGCACUAUUGUGAUCAAAAGCGUGUACAAGUAUUAAGAAUUAAUUCGUUUUAAUGGCCUGGUCAGAAUUUCAUCCGAUUUCGUUCAGGAAGUCUGGAACUUCCGAGCGUGUCUAACGAGAGGCUUACACUAAUUUGUUUUUCUUUUUCUCGCAAAUCGCGGACGCAGAACAUUUAAUUAUAAAUUUCUUUCUUUGCGAAUUUCUUAAGCGUUCGCGGCACAGGUUCUUACAGGUGAUACUGCAUCAGCUUGUCAUCUGACCCGCUUCAUGAUGCUAUUGUAGCUGCAACGUUGACGAAACUUGGAAACAUUAUACUUUUCUUUGUGUCCAAAAUAACGUAUCAGACUUUUUAUUGUAUUGCACUUCUUUCACUUUAAUUCUUUAAUUCUUUCAGGUAUGGAACCAUGGUGGAUGCAAUAAUUGCAAGUUUUAAUUGAUAAAUAUUUUUCUUAAAUAUGAAAAUAUAGUUUAUGUUACUAAGUGUCUCCAAACAGAGGUUAUAACAGUAAUUGUCAUACCAUAGACAUAACCUAACGGGUACCUUAAUUUCAAACUUAUAUAUUCCAAAGAAAAUUAUAAUAACUAACGUAUGAGAAAUACUAUUCUAAUUAUCCAACAUGUCAAGUUUCAUUACUAUAUUUACUAAUUUGAGGAAUCCGUAAGCAUGUUAUCGGAAUUGUUUUAAAUACGUUGAGCGAAAAUUUGCUUUACGGUAUAACCUAAAUGCAUCUAGCAUCAUCGUUAGGCGAACUGUAACUGAUAGAAAGAAAAGAAGAACGAAAGGAGAAAAAGAGAAGGAACGAGAGAGUUCGUUGGCCGUCAAAGGGAAGUCAGAAGCAUGACUGUAACCGUGCCUGUGAUCGUGAUCUGGACAGCAACCGUGAUCGUGAUUCGUAACCAUGACCGACUUGCCUUUAAAAUGCACUUUAGGAAAUUGUGUGCAUUGUACUACGAUAUUCUGUGAUAACUAACGCGUAUUACAGUACGCGUUUAUAUAAUCAUGUAUAGGUCAUUCCACCAACAAUUUUUGACUUUUUCCUUUGAAGAAUUUUGUUCACAUUAAACUGUCUUGCAGUCUAUGUGGCAAUAAGGAAGACCUGAAAUUAUGAUCAAAUUUUAUAUCGUAGCUGUAACCUUUUUCAGAUCCUCGUAGACGUUUCAAAAUUCUUGCUUUCAUCUUUAUAAUAGUUUAAACGUCCACUGUUAGGCAAUGACACUUUAUGUGCAACGCGAAAGUAUCAUUGCGAAGUAGUUUUACGUCUACGAGACUGAAUGAGUAUAUUUUAGCAAAUUCUAGUAGUAGAUGAUCUAUCCAUGUAUGCGUCAUACGUCAAAAUGUAAAAUCAAAUGUAAAGUUGCAUGCGACAAAAUCUACUAAAUGUUGGAUGUUUUGAUGUUGGUCAUGUUUUGUUGAAUGUUUAGAUACUUCUCGAAAACAACGAAAUAAUCCGCGGGUACUUCCAACAGCUUCUUUUCUAAAUAAAUUUUUAGAUAAUUUGCGUAACAAAUUCGUUAAAUUCUAUACGUGCUGUACAUCACGGUGGGUUCAGUGCACGAUCGUGCAUGAUGUGCAUGAUCAUU
Long non-coding RNA from Hylaeus anthracinus, 4854 nucleotides. RefSeq lists it as uncharacterized. Lineage: Eukaryota; Metazoa; Arthropoda; Insecta; Hymenoptera; Colletidae. The record is from RefSeq and is a predicted model, not a curated record. The transcript is spliced from 3 exons.